RNAcentral lists this long non-coding RNA (270 nucleotides) under Rattus norvegicus (Norway rat). Its description in RNAcentral is "long non-coding RNA NONRATT033770". The record is from RNAcentral. Lineage: Eukaryota; Metazoa; Chordata; Mammalia; Rodentia; Muridae.
AUGCUACUAAAUUAUACAUAUUUUUUAUUUUGUCACAGGGGGCUGUUGUGGGAGAGAUUUGCAGAGGAAGUGAUUUCAAAGUGCCUGCUGAAGGAUGAGUCAAGUGAGGAGGAAAUCAUCAGAACAAUAUGUACAAAGAUGAAGAGACAGCAAGGAAGGUACCACAGCUUUGUUGGGGGUAACAGUGAAGAUGGAAAAUCGUGUCUUUGUAGACCUGACAGACAAGAACCGAUACAGGCAAGGACACAUGAAUUUUGUGUUACAAAAUGA